This 1913-nucleotide long non-coding RNA is filed under the name Oryza sativa Indica Group (long-grained rice). Its description in RNAcentral is "lncRNA OsMH63_01G041030". Lineage: Eukaryota; Viridiplantae; Streptophyta; Magnoliopsida; Poales; Poaceae. The record is from RNAcentral.
AUUUUGUCUGUCGCAGUGUCGUGUCCCUCUCUCGUUACUCUCCAAGCAGUUCCUCUAUUGUUCUCUCUCCCAUUCUGUCUCUCACUCUCUCUCAAUCUCUCGUUACUCACCAAGGGUCCAAGGUGACCGACAGUGGUGCUCGCUUGGAUCCCGCGGUUCUGCCGUCGACGGCGACGGGCCGGUCAGAUCCACCACCGGCCCAAGCCGUGGUUGCUGCUUCCUCGCGUCGAUCCAGCCACCACCAUGUUUAUCUCCAUCGUUGGCUGGCGGCGGUGAGGCUGGUGAGCGGCGGUUCCGGCGGUUGGGAGGCUCGAGGGCGGCGACGAGGCUGGUGGGCGGUGGAUUCGGCGUAGGGAGGCGAGGCAGUGGACUCCCGUAGCCGGCGGUUGCCCAGCGGAGGUGGUGGCGGCGGCGGCCGCGCCCUCCCCUCCGCUAGAUCUGGCAGGAGGGGAGGCAGCGGGCUCUCGCGGCCGGCGCCUACCCGGCGGAGGCGGUAGCGGCGCCGGCGGCUGGGCCCUCGAUGGGCGGCGGGUUCCCAUAGGCGGUGGUGUCACUUUCUCCAUGUUUCUCCUCCUCGUGCUCAAAUGCUCUCGAUGGAUCCGUCGCCUUCCUCCUUCUGCUACUUCCUUCCUUUCGUUCUUUCCUCUCGGUUUUCUCUCCUCUCCUUCGCCACUCAGCGACGCCCUCCUUCUCCGCCGAUCCCCCUCCUCGACCACCCACCGACGGCGCCUCUCCCUCUCCUCCGCUCCCCUUCCUCGUCCCCCCACCGAGCCCGCCGGCGACGGAUCCAAUUCCCCCGAGCUCGCUGGCGAUGGAUCGGCCUUCGCCGUUGGGUGGCAUUCGUCAUCGUAGGAUCGAGCUGCCACAAUGGUCCAGUUCGGUGCCGAGCAGAUUGGGGCGCAAUGGGAUGCCAGGUGCUAGUGGUUACUUGAGCAGCUAUGGGGGUGAUGGUGGGUAUGGCAGUACACCAGGAGCCCAGGAAGAAAAUAUAUGGUCAAUAGGUAAGAUAUAUGGUAAGUUCAAUUCCCACACCACCUCUAAUCGUUGCGCAAUAUUGCUGGUUAUAGAUUGAUUGGUUUAUGACUGGUACUAUAUCAAAUAUAUUACUGUCUUUGAUAUGUUAUCUCUGUAGGAAUCAGAUUACUGUCAUGGUUCUUAUAUUGUGCACUUCCACUUACUGCUAGCUAGCUUGUAUCCUGUAUAUUUUAGUUAGUCAAGUAAUAGUAGCAUGAAAACACCAAAACAUUAUAUGUCUAAUCUGAACAAUCAUUUUGAGUAGCCUAAUUGAUUGCAAGCUCUUGUGAUGAUUUUGCUGUGUGCAUGAUUUAUGUUCUGCAUUCAUGUGAAUGUCUGAAUUGAAGGACUCGUCUGGAACUUCCACGUUGCUACGUGCCGCUGAACAACUGAAAAAAUUGGUUGUUGCUAACUUGAAAAAAUUGACUGUUGCUAACUGUUCUACAUCGACGGGAAAAAAACCAUACAUAGCAUUGGUUGUGCAUAUGAAAGGCUCAGCUAAACAUUCUCUUCUGAAAACAAGGCUCAUGUAUGUCUGGUUGACCUCUUUAAUUUAUGUAUAAAAACUUCAUGUAUGUCUGGUUGACCUCUUUUAUUUUAUGAUGGUACUGUUAGUUCGAAUUCAUAAGCUGACUUAUCUUAUGAAAUUAAAAUUGUAUUCAGGAUUGAGUUGGUUGAUAACCUAGAAUCGACAUUGAUUGGAGAUUGCUUGACGUCCUAGAGGAAGAGCCUUGCGAUUAAUAUUUUCUUGUGUGCUUCUAUUAUUUCUAUAGCCUGAUUGAAAGGUGGCUUGAUGUCCUAGAGGAAGAGCCUUGUGAUAUAUGUUUUCUUGUCUGCUUCUAUUAUUUAUACUUCUACAUUAUAUUGCCUGUAAUGUAAUGUAAUAUUAAAUUGGAGUA